GGCAAGUUACCCAAGUGGCCAAAGGGAGCUGACUGUAAAUCAGCCUGCAUCGCAUUCACUGGUUCGAAUCCAGUACUUGCCACCA
This 85-nucleotide transfer RNA is filed under the name Microbacterium sp. RNAcentral's name for it is "tRNA-Tyr". It matches the Rfam family "tRNA". From Rfam's summary of the family: Transfer RNA (tRNA) molecules are approximately 80 nucleotides in length. RNAcentral also lists the same sequence under 1 other name. The record is from RNAcentral. Lineage: Bacteria; Bacillati; Actinomycetota; Actinomycetes; Micrococcales; Microbacteriaceae.